Molecule: non-coding RNA, 285 nt
Filed under: Paenibacillus sp.
Lineage: Bacteria; Bacillati; Bacillota; Bacilli; Caryophanales; Paenibacillaceae
Description: T-box sequence
Rfam family: T-box leader
About the family: Uncharged tRNA acts as the effector for transcription antitermination of genes in the T-box leader family. T-boxes are found upstream of many aminoacyl-tRNA synthetase genes and some amino acid biosynthetic genes usually in Gram-positive bacteria.
Source: RNAcentral
AUUUUUCCUAUGAAGGGAUAAGUACGAUCAUGCAUGCUUUAGUACAGAGAGCCGGGGGAGCUGCAAGCCGGUCUGAAGCAGAGUUCGGAAAAUGGUCCUGGAGGAACUGCUUUCGAGCCAUAUCCGUCCUAGUAGAUGGAAGGUAAGGGAGCGGCGCAUGCCAGCGUUAGCGGGCACAGUUAAGCAAUGAGCUUGACUGGUAUGAGCCUGAUUUCUUACUUGAGUGUGAAGUGAUCAGGGAAUUUGGGUGGUACCACGUGAGUGUAACAGACUCUCGUCCCAUAU